GGAACCGCGAAUUAUAUCGUUUCAAAAGCCAACCAGGGCCUGAUGGGUUUUUUUGAUGGAGUCUUUUUGGCCAAUGAUGCUGAGGUGUCCUCCUUUGUUGAUUACAUCCAUGGAACAACUGGACAUAAUCCAGGGAAAGGGAGAUGUGGUGCGGGUCAGUGGACUGCAGCACGAGAGUCUGCCAACAAGUCUGGAAGCAAACUAGACGAGGAAGGUGUUGAAGUUGCUGUCUGCCGUCAUGGGGUUUUGCUGAAGGGACUGAAUAUGUUCCGUGGAGAAAUAUUUGCAUACCCAUUAUAUCUCCAGAAACAGCUAGCUUCACAGACCGUCCAGUUUUUUUUGCUCUGAUGUGGUCUGCAAAUAUUGGCCAUAUCUGCAGAAAGUUGUGGACCACUGUCCAGAGUUGGAGGACUUGCUGAACAUGCGCCCAUUUCUCUCCAUCAUGCAUGCAAAAGCGCAUUCAUGGAUGUGUGAGUUAAAAUGGGGGGGGCGCAAUCAAGAAGGAGCUGGAACAACAAUCGGGGAGGAGGUUGAACAGGUUAACAGCUUCCUCUCUCGAGCAGCCAUAUGUUCCAAAGUACAUGUC
Cyprinus carpio (common carp) is the source of this 586-nucleotide long non-coding RNA. RefSeq lists it as uncharacterized. The transcript is spliced from 4 exons. NCBI's taxonomy places the organism in Eukaryota, Metazoa, Chordata, Actinopteri, Cypriniformes, Cyprinidae. The record is from RefSeq and is a predicted model, not a curated record.